GGCUUAGAGUUUGAUCAUGGCUCAGGAUGAACGCUAGCUACAGGCUUAACACAUGCAAGUCGAGGGGCAGCAUGGUCUUAGCUUGCUAAGGCCGAUGGCGACCGGCGCACGGGUGAGUAACACGUAUCCAACCUGCCGUCUACUCUUGGACAGCCUUCUGAAAGGAAGAUUAAUACAAGAUGGCAUCAUGAGUCCGCAUGUUCACAUGAUUAAAGGUAUUCCGGUAGACGAUGGGGAUGCGUUCCAUUAGAUAGUAGGCGGGGUAACGGCCCACCUAGUCUUCGAUGGAUAGGGGUUCUGAGAGGAAGGUCCCCCACAUUGGAACUGAGACACGGUCCAAACUCCUACGGGAGGCAGCAGUGAGGAAUAUUGGUCAAUGGGCGAGAGCCUGAACCAGCCAAGUAGCGUGAAGGAUGACUGCCCUAUGGGUUGUAAACUUCUUUUAUAAAGGAAUAAAGUCGGGUAUGUGUACCCGUUUGCAUGUACUUUAUGAAUAAGGAUCGGCUAACUCCGUGCCAGCAGCCGCGGUAAUACGGAGGAUCCGAGCGUUAUCCGGAUUUAUUGGGUUUAAAGGGAGCGUAGAUGGAUGUUUAAGUCAGUUGUGAAAGUUUGCGGCUCAACCGUAAAAUUGCAGUUGAUACUGGAUAUCUUGAGUGCAGUUGAGGCAGGCGGAAUUCGUGGUGUAGCGGUGAAAUGCUUAGAUAUCACGAAGAACUCCGAUUGCGAAGGCAGCCUGCUAAGCUGCAACUGACAUUGAGGCUCGAAAGUGUGGGUAUCAAACAGGAUUAGAUACCCUGGUAGUCCACACGGUAAUCGAUGAAUACUCGCUGUUUGCGAUAUACGGCAAGCGGCCAAGCGAAAGCGUUAAGUAUU
This 873-nucleotide ribosomal RNA is filed under the name uncultured bacterium. Its description in RNAcentral is "bacterial SSU rRNA". It matches the Rfam family "Bacterial small subunit ribosomal RNA", at positions 1 to 868 of the family's 1533-position model. The record is from RNAcentral.